GGGGACUUAGCUCAGUGGUAGAGCACUUGCCUAGCAAGCGCAAGGCCCUGGGUUCGGUCCCCAGCUCCA
This 69-nucleotide transfer RNA is filed under the name Rattus norvegicus (Norway rat). It matches the Rfam family "tRNA". From Rfam's summary of the family: Transfer RNA (tRNA) molecules are approximately 80 nucleotides in length. Their secondary structure includes four short double-helical elements and three loops (D, anti-codon, and T loops). Further hydrogen bonds mediate the characteristic L-shaped molecular structure. tRNAs have two regions of fundamental functional importance: the anti-codon, which is responsible for specific mRNA codon recognition, and the 3' end, to which the tRNAs corresponding amino acid is attached (by aminoacyl-tRNA synthetases). tRNAs cope with the degeneracy of the genetic code in two manners: having more than one tRNA (with a specific anti-codon) for a particular amino acid; and 'wobble' base-pairing, i.e. permitting non-standard base-pairing at the 3rd anti-codon position. The record is from Rfam by way of RNAcentral. Lineage: Eukaryota; Metazoa; Chordata; Mammalia; Rodentia; Muridae.